UGUAAGCGUAUACCAAAGUUGUUGCAGUUAAAACGCUCGUAGUCGGAAUUUGGCAGUUCCGAAUGUGUGCACGUCGUGUGCGCACUUCGCGGGGAUUGCUUUUGUGGUCUUGCGUAGGAUGAGGCACUUUUAUUAGUGAACGUCCUCACGCAACCACUUUUUACUGUGAAAAAAUCAGAGUGCUCAAAGCAGGCAUUUGCCGUGAAUGUAUUAGCAUGGAAUAAUAGAAUAGGACUUGGUUCUAUUUUGUUGGUUUGUUGGGACUGAGUAAAGAUUAAGAGGGACAGUUGGGGGCAUUUGUAUUUCGGUGCUAGAGGUGAAAUUCUUAGAUUACCGAAAGACAAACUGCUGCGAAAGCGUCUGCCAAGGAUGUUUUCAUUGA
Molecule: ribosomal RNA, 382 nt
Filed under: uncultured eukaryote
Lineage: Eukaryota
Description: partial 18S ribosomal RNA
Rfam family: Eukaryotic small subunit ribosomal RNA
Source: RNAcentral